This 60-nucleotide transfer RNA is filed under the name Pharus latifolius. RNAcentral describes it as "tRNA-Met". Lineage: Eukaryota; Viridiplantae; Streptophyta; Magnoliopsida; Poales; Poaceae. The record is from RNAcentral.
GAGGGUAGAGUAGUUUGGUAGUUCACAAGACUCAUAACCUUGGGGUUGCGGUUCGAUUCC